CGCUGCCGGGACCUCGGAGGCGCCUGGCGCGCGCGCUCCCGCCCGGGCGCGUCCCCGCACGUCCCCGCCGGGGCUCCGGGAGGGGUGCGGGCGGGGAGCGCGACCCCCUGGCCAAGGUCUACCGGCAGGACGUCUCCCGUCGCCCCCAUGGGAGAGGGUCCCCGCGGCCUCCAGGCUGCGCCCACGUGCGCGCAGGGUCGUCCGUCGCCCCGAGCGCCUGCUCUCCGGCCCGGGCGUGGGAGGCGCCUAGGGAGAGAGAGAGCCGGUCUGGAGUAGGCACCCGGCGGCCGGGAGGCUGGACGGCGUCUGCCCCCAAGAGCUCCCUGGCCGUGCGCGCCGCGUCAGCCCCCUUGGCAGAGCAGCGCGCCGAUGAGUGUGGCCACGCUUGGAGAACGCAGCGCUGGAGCUGGCCCCAGGCGGGCAGUGGCCUCGGGCGAGGGCAGAAGGGCACUCCGGGCUGUGAAUAGAACACUUGCUUAUCCCUUCAGAGGACAAGCCGGUGGCAGGCCUGGAGCCCCCAGUGACUGGGUCACCUACAGGAAUUACUUCUCUUAGCAAGGCAUCAUCUCCUGUGCAAAGUCUUCACAGAUGCCAACUGCCCCUGGCCAAAGG
Gorilla gorilla gorilla (western lowland gorilla) is the source of this 612-nucleotide long non-coding RNA. RefSeq lists it as uncharacterized. The record is from RefSeq and is a predicted model, not a curated record. NCBI's taxonomy places the organism in Eukaryota, Metazoa, Chordata, Mammalia, Primates, Hominidae. The transcript is spliced from 3 exons.